CUGUGGUGAAAGUGUCCUAUGCAAAAUGUUUCCUUGGGGGAAGAUACAAGUUCGGCAGUGUCAGAUCCACGUCUGAUUUAAUAGUUAUAAGUGCGAGCAUGGCGAGUGUGGGUUAAGGAUUAUUGAGUAGCUACUUAGCCUUUCAAGUUAUGAUCAGUUUCUUUUAACACAAUUUGGAAAUUGGUCUAAGGGAUAUCCUUACCCAUUUGUUUUAGUAUACUGACAAUGGAUGGCCAAGAAAAUGAGGAGUUGUCAAAUGAAAAUAAGGAAGAUGGAGAUGGACAUUUGAAUGCCUGUUCGCGCAAGGAACAGUAGCGUAGCGAGGGGCGGCACGGGGGGACACGUGCCCCCCAAAAUUUUUGAAAACAAAAAAUUUUGAAAAAAGAAUAACAACAAAAAAAACAUAUUAAACUGAAACGAAAGAGGAAAAUAAAAUAUUACAACCUA
Long non-coding RNA from Actinia tenebrosa (Australian red waratah sea anemone), 447 nucleotides. The record is from RefSeq and is a predicted model, not a curated record. NCBI's taxonomy places the organism in Eukaryota, Metazoa, Cnidaria, Anthozoa, Actiniaria, Actiniidae.